GCCAGAGUGGCAUAGUGAUUUGAGCACUGGACUAUGACUCUGGAGACCAGGGUUCAAUUCCCCAUUUGGUA
RNAcentral lists this transfer RNA (71 nucleotides) under Phrynosoma platyrhinos (Desert horned lizard). Its description in RNAcentral is "tRNA-OTHER". Lineage: Eukaryota; Metazoa; Chordata; Lepidosauria; Squamata; Phrynosomatidae. The record is from RNAcentral.